RNAcentral lists this ribosomal RNA (476 nucleotides) under uncultured bacterium. Its description in RNAcentral is "bacterial SSU rRNA". It matches the Rfam family "Bacterial small subunit ribosomal RNA", at positions 29 to 507 of the family's 1533-position model. The record is from RNAcentral.
AACUAACGCUGGCGGCGUACCUAACACAUGCAAGUCGUACGAGAAAGCCGGCUUCGGCUGGUGAGUAAAGUGGCGCACGGGUGAGUAACGCGUGGAUAAUCUGCCCUUAAGUGUGGAAUAACGUACCGAAAGGUGCGCUAAUACCGCAUAAUGCCUGGCAACACAAGUUGUCCGGCCAAAGAAGGCCUCUGUUUACAAGCUUUCGCUUCAGGAUGAGUCCGCGUACCAUUAGCUUGUUGGUGGGGUAAUGGCCUACCAAGGCUGCGAUGGUUAGCUGGUCUGAGAGGAUGAUCAGCCACACUGGAACUGAGACACGGUCCAGACUCCUACGGGAGGCAGCAGUGGGGAAUAUUGCGCAAUGGGGGAAACCCUGACGCAGCAACGCCGCGUGAAGGAGAAGGCCUUCGGGUUGUAAACUUCUUUGAUCGGGGACGAAAUAGACGGUACCCGAGGAACAAGCCACGGCUAACUACGUG